AUUGAACGCUGGCGGCAGGCUUAACACAUGCAAGUCGAGCGGGGGAAGGUAGCUUGCUACUGGACCUAGCGGCGGACGGGUGAGUAAUGCUUAGGAAUCUGCCUAUUAGUGGGGGACAACAUCUCGAAAGGGAUGCUAAUACCGCAUACGUCCUACGGGAGAAAGCAGGGGAUCUUCGGACCUUGCGCUAAUAGAUGAGCCUAAGUCGGAUUAGCUAGUUGGUGGGGUAAAGGCCUACCAAGGCGACGAUCUGUAGCGGGUCUGAGAGGAUGAUCCGCCACACUGGGACUGAGACACGGCCCAGACUCCUACGGGAGGCAGCAGUGGGGAAUAUUGGACAAUGGGGGGAACCCUGAUCCAGCCAUGCCGCGUGUGUGAAGAAGGCCUUAUGGUUGUAAAGCACUUUAAGCGAGGAGGAGGCUACUUUAGUUAAUACCUAGAGAUAGUGGACGUUACUCGCAGAAUAAGCACCGGCUAACUCUGUGCCAGCAGCCGCGGUAAUACAGAGGGUGCGAGCGUUAAUCGGAUUUACUGGGCGUAAAGCGUGCGUAGGCGGCUUAUUAAGUCGGAUGUGAAAUCCCCGAGCUUAACUUGGGAAUUGCAUUCGAUACUGGUGAGCUAGAGUAUGGGAGAGGAUGGUAGAAUUCCAGGUGUAGCGGUGAAAUGCGUAGAGAUCUGGAGGAAUACCGAUGGCGAAGGCAGCCAUCUGGCCUAAUACUGACGCUGAGGUACGAAAGCAUGGGGAGCAAACAGGAUUAGAUACC
RNAcentral lists this ribosomal RNA (764 nucleotides) under Acinetobacter baumannii OIFC032. RNAcentral describes it as "bacterial SSU rRNA". It matches the Rfam family "Bacterial small subunit ribosomal RNA", at positions 28 to 786 of the family's 1533-position model. Lineage: Bacteria; Pseudomonadati; Pseudomonadota; Gammaproteobacteria; Moraxellales; Moraxellaceae. The record is from RNAcentral.